GCAGCAGUAGUUGACGUGUCAUGAGAAUACUGGUUAUCCUUAUGCCCACCUGGCAGCUUCUCCUUUGUCUUGUCCAUCAUACCCUUCUCCUGGUGGCGCUCUCCUUCUCCAUCCUUGCUGCCACCAAAUGGCAGCUUAUCCUUUAUCUUGUCCAUUACACCCUUCUCCUGGUGGUGCUCGCCUUCUCCUGCAUAGGUGGUCCCACCGCCGUACUGUGCACCGGUGGUCGGCUUUGCAUGCAAGUACUGGUCAUCCUUGCUAGCACCGCCUGGCAGCUUCUCCUUUACCUUGUCCGUCACACCCUUUUUCUGGUGGUGCUCUCCUUCUCCUGCAUAGGUGGUCCCACCGCCGUAAUGUGCACCGGUGGUCGGCUUUGCAUGCGAGUACUGGUCAUCCUUGCUAGCACCGCCUGGCAGCUGCUCCUUCACCUUGUCCAUCACACCCUUCUUCUGGUCGCGCUCUCCUUCUCCUGCAUAGGUGGUCCCACCACCAUAAGGUGUAGCGGUCUGCGUUCCAUGAGAGUACUGGUCAUCCUUGUUACCACCACCUGGCAGCUUCUCCUUUACCUUGUCCAUCACACCCCUUUUCUGGUGGUGCUCUCCUUCACCUGUGUAGGUCGUCCCACCGCCGUAAGGUGUAGUGGUCUGCGUUCCAUGAGUGUACUGGUCAUCUUUGUUACCACCACCUGGUAGCUUCUCCUUUAUCUUUU
RNAcentral lists this long non-coding RNA (709 nucleotides) under Malus domestica (apple). RNAcentral describes it as "long non-coding RNA (MDOM_LNC001547)". Lineage: Eukaryota; Viridiplantae; Streptophyta; Magnoliopsida; Rosales; Rosaceae. The record is from RNAcentral.